Molecule: ribosomal RNA, 253 nt
Filed under: uncultured bacterium
Lineage: Bacteria
Description: partial 16S ribosomal RNA
Rfam family: Bacterial small subunit ribosomal RNA
Source: RNAcentral
GACAGAGGUGCCGAGCGUUAGGCGGAAUCACUGGGCUUAAGGCGUGUGUAGGCGGAUCGUUAAGUACCUUGUGAAAUCCCACGGCUCAACCGUGGAACUGCUGGGUAUACUGGCGAUCUUGAGCCACCUAGGGGCGAGCGGAACAAGCGGUGGAGCGGUGAAAUGCGUAGAUAUCGCUUGGAACGCCGACGGUGAAAACAGCUCGCUGGGGGUGUGCUGACGCUGAGACACGAAAGCCAGGGGAGCGAACGGG